This 63-nucleotide transfer RNA is filed under the name Ptilomera tigrina. RNAcentral's name for it is "tRNA-His". The record is from RNAcentral. Lineage: Eukaryota; Metazoa; Arthropoda; Insecta; Hemiptera; Gerridae. RNAcentral also lists the same sequence under 1 other name.
GUUUGAAUAGUUUAAUAAGAAUAAUAAUUUGUGGUGUUAUAGGUAUAGUUUAUAUUUCAGACU